This 817-nucleotide long non-coding RNA is filed under the name Gallus gallus (chicken). RNAcentral describes it as "lncRNA (ENSGALG00010018647.1)". Lineage: Eukaryota; Metazoa; Chordata; Aves; Galliformes; Phasianidae. The record is from RNAcentral.
AGGACUGCCUAGAAGCUUUGUCUCAUGAAGACAGUAACAGAGGGAAAAGAUGGACUGACUGAGUCCCCAGCGUGGAUACAGACCUACAGCAUGCUGGUGUGGAAAGGGACGAUGACUCCCUCAACAGCUUCUUCCAGUGCAUGAGGACUCUUUCUGAGAAGAAAUUUCUCCUACCAACCAACCUGAACCUCCCCUGGUGCAACUUGAGGCCAUUCCCUCUACCCCUAUCGCUGUUACCUGGGAAAAGAGGCUGACCCCCGCUUCGUCACAACCUCCUUUCAGGCAGGCAGGUGUAUAAUUCAUCGCAGACCUACCCUGCUACAUACAGAUGUUGCAGCACUCCAACAUGACAGACUGAGCAGUGGUGGAAAGAGCUCCCGGAGAGACCUUCCCAUCUGGACAGCCAUUUCUGCAGGGUGGCACAGCUCUCCCAGGGUUAGAUUUGGCAUUGGAAAGCCUCCCAUCGCCUCCUGAAGACCAGACUGGCAAUAACUGAACUGUACAAAUGCAGAACUCAGGAAAACCAGAAGAGGUCAGCUGGUGCUGAGUGAAUCAGCAGCCACUCACAUUUUUUCUUGUAUUUAUUUUUUAUCAGAGAGAAGGGGUUUUUGAUCCUGAGGCUGUCUAUAGUACUGCUGAUAUUUGCUUCACUACCUUCUUGUGAUUGUAAAGCUUCCUAUGGGGGCAAAGCAUUCAGCAAAUCCUCUUUUUCAAAACAGAGAUCAGAUAUAUCAGCAGGCACAAAAUGAAUUGUGAAUUGAGUUUAGAUCUCCUCCUCUGCAGGGGACUUCUGGUCUGCUAAACUUUCACACUUGAU